This 241-nucleotide ribosomal RNA is filed under the name uncultured bacterium. Its description in RNAcentral is "partial 16S ribosomal RNA". It matches the Rfam family "Bacterial small subunit ribosomal RNA", at positions 118 to 345 of the family's 1533-position model. The record is from RNAcentral.
UGGGUAACCUGCCUCAAAGAGAGGAAUAGCCUCCCGAAAGGGAGAUUAAUACCGCAUAAUAUGUUUAGGUCGCAUGACUUUAACAUCAAAGGAUUUUCUUUUAGAAAUUCCACUUUGAGAUGGACCCCGCGGCGCAUUAGCUAGUUGGUGAGGUAACGGCUCACCAAGGCAACGAUGCAUAGUCAACCUGAGAGGGUGAUCGGCCACAUUGGAACUGAGACNCGGUCCAGAUCCGUACGGG